GUAGUCCACGCUGUAAACGUUGGGCGCUAGGUGUGGGGACUGUUUCCACGGUUUCCGUGCCGUAGCUAACGCAUUAAGCGCCCCGCCUGGGGAGUACGGCCGCAAGGCUAAAACUCAAAGGAAUUGACGGGGGCCCGCACAAGCGGCGGAGCAUGUGGAUUAAUUCGAUGCAACGCGAAGAACCUUACCUGGGUUUGACAUGCACCAGAUAGGCGUAGAGAUACGUCCUCCCUUUGUGGUUGGUGUGCAGGUGGUGCAUGGCUGUCGUCAGCUCGUGUCGUUAGAUGUUGGGUUAAGUCCCGUAACGAGCGCAACCCUUGUCCUGUGUUGCCAGCAAUGCGGUUGGGGACUCGCGGGAGACUGCCGGGGUCAACUCGGA
This 379-nucleotide ribosomal RNA is filed under the name uncultured bacterium. Its description in RNAcentral is "bacterial SSU rRNA". It matches the Rfam family "Bacterial small subunit ribosomal RNA", at positions 790 to 1167 of the family's 1533-position model. The record is from RNAcentral.